UGAUGUCAGUUUUUGUAGUGCUCCAAUC
Molecule: small RNA, 28 nt
Filed under: Bombyx mori (domestic silkworm)
Lineage: Eukaryota; Metazoa; Arthropoda; Insecta; Lepidoptera; Bombycidae
Description: ovarian small RNA-3711
Source: RNAcentral